RNAcentral lists this long non-coding RNA (1191 nucleotides) under Cairina moschata (Muscovy duck). Its description in RNAcentral is "domestica (muscovy Duck (domestic type)) lncRNA (ENSCMMG00000014276.1)". The record is from RNAcentral. Lineage: Eukaryota; Metazoa; Chordata; Aves; Anseriformes; Anatidae.
UCCAGCCAGCAACAGCUCUCACUUAAAGGAGAUAGGGGGAGCCUCGGCCAGGCUGCACGGAUCAGCUCCUGCAGCUCUGCCAUCCCGGGCAGUGCCCGGGAGCUUUGCUCAGCGCCGUCCCUCGCCUCCCCCGGCUGGGACACCCCGGGCAGGGUCCCCGGGGCGAGUGGCUCCCCGCCUGCCGGCCCCCGGGGCUUCUCCUGCAGCCUCCUCGCCCCUCAUCCCCCGGCUGCCCCCUCCCCGGCCCUCCGCGUCCCUCCCGAGCCGCCUCCGGCCCCGUCGGGGCUGCAGCAUCGAGGUCAGCCCCGACUCCCUCCCGCUCCAUCCCGCCCCGUCGGGGCUGCCCGCGGCUCUCCGGAGCUCGGAGCCGGGGGCAGGGGGGAGCCGCCCCCCGACGGGCGAUGCCCGAGCCUCACCUGGGCCGGAGCGGGGCACUGCGGGGCGGGCGGCGCUGCUCUGCCCGGGACCGGCCGGCGGCUCGGCCCUAGGUGCUGGAGGGCGACCGGGGCGGUGCCGGGCCCCUCGUCCCGCCCCGGCCGGCCCGGCUCGGGCCAUACAAGGCAGAAAAAUGCGGCGGGGCCGGGGCGGAGGGGCCGCGCUGCCGGCCUUGUACGGACGGGCGGGCGGCCCACGCGUGCCGCAAGUCCGCGGGAGGCUCCUGGGGGGGGGCACCCCGGGGAGCAGGGGGCUGUGGGGGACCAAAUCCACGCGGUGCCGUGCUGCCGGGGCCGGGGCAUCGCCCGCCCGCCCUCCUGGGGGCCGCGGGUCUCGGUGCUGCUCAGCUCCUCGGGCACGGAGCGGCCGCCGGUGCCGUGGGCUCCCCGACGGCGAGCCGGGGGGAUUCCCGCAUGGUGGGGGGCAGAGCUCUGCCCGCAGGGGAGCGGUGGCACAGGGGGGAUUUGGGAGCCUUUCCGAGGGGGAUUCGCCCGCCCCGGCCCCCAGCUGGGAGCGGGUUUGGGCGACACCGCCCGCAGCGGGGUCCGUGCCCCGCCGCGCACCUCGGGGGCUGCCCAGCGUGGCAAGGGACAGCCCGGGGCAACGCACGAGGAUUGCUGCCGCGAGCAGUGCUGUAAAAGUUCACCCCGCUGUGGGGCAGCCAUCUGCAGGGAGCCCAGCAGAGCGCAGGGCUGCGCGGAGUCUGCGCUGAGCCUGAGCUCCGUCUGGGGCUUUCCCACGGUGUUUGCCUUUUAA